Molecule: ribosomal RNA, 825 nt
Filed under: uncultured bacterium
Lineage: Bacteria
Description: bacterial SSU rRNA
Rfam family: Bacterial small subunit ribosomal RNA
Source: RNAcentral
AGAGUUUGAUCCUGGCUCAGGACGAACGCUGGCGGCGUGCCUAACACAUGCAAGUCGAGCGGGGAUAUACGGAAGGUUUACCGGAAGUAUAUCCUAGCGGCGGACGGGUGAGUAACGCGUGGGUAACCUACCUCAUACAGGGGGAUAACACAGGGAAACCUGUGCUAAUACCGCAUAAUAUAACGGGGCGGCAUCGUCCUGUUAUCAAAGGAGAAAUCCGGUAUGAGAUGGGCCCGCGUCCGAUUAGCUAGUUGGUGAGGUAACGGCUCACCAAGGCGACGAUCGGUAGCCGAACUGAGAGGUCGGUCGGCCACAUUGGGACUGAGACACGGCCCAGACUCCUACGGGAGGCAGCAGUGGGGAAUAUUGCGCAAUGGGGGAAACCCUGACGCAGCAACGCCGCGUGAAGGAAGAAGGCCUUCGGGUUGUAAACUUCUUUGAUUGGGGACGAAGGAAGUGACGGUACCCAAAGAACAAGCCACGGCUAACUACGUGCCAGCAGCCGCGGUAAUACGUAGGUGGCGAGCGUUGUCCGGAAUUACUGGGUGUAAAGGGCGCGUAGGCGGGGAUGCAAGUCAGAUGUGAAAUUCCGGGGCUUAACCCCGGCGCUGCAUCUGAAACUGUAUCUCUUGAGUGCUGGAGAGGAAAGCGGAAUUCCUAGUGUAGCGGUGAAAUGCGUAGAUAUUAGGAGGAACACCAGUGGCGAAGGCGGCUUUCUGGACAGUAACUGACGCUGAGGCGCGAAAGCGUGGGGGAGCAAACAGGAUUAGAUACCCUGGUAGUCCACGCCGUAAACGAUGGAUACUAGGUGUAGGAGGUAUCGAC